This 1061-nucleotide ribosomal RNA is filed under the name Vibrio sp. PM-RT10. Its description in RNAcentral is "bacterial SSU rRNA". It matches the Rfam family "Bacterial small subunit ribosomal RNA", at positions 56 to 1097 of the family's 1533-position model. Lineage: Bacteria; Pseudomonadati; Pseudomonadota; Gammaproteobacteria; Vibrionales; Vibrionaceae. The record is from RNAcentral.
UGCAAGUCGAGCGGAAACGAGUUAUCUGAACCUUCGGGGAACGAUAACGGCGUCGAGCGGCGGACGGGUGAGUAAUGCCUAGGAAAUUGCCCUGAUGUGGGGGAUAACCAUUGGAAACGAUGGCUAAUACCGCAUGAUGCCUACGGGCCAAAGAGGGGGACCUUCGGGCCUCUCGCGUCAGGAUAUGCCUAGGUGGGAUUAGCUAGUUGGUGAGGUAAGGGCUCACCAAGGCGACGAUCCCUAGCUGGUCUGAGAGGAUGAUCAGCCACACUGGAACUGAGACACGGUCCAGACUCCUACGGGAGGCAGCAGUGGGGAAUAUUGCACAAUGGGCGCAAGCCUGAUGCAGCCAUGCCGCGUGUGUGAAGAAGGCCUUCGGGUUGUAAAGUACUUUCAGUCGUGAGGAAGGCGGUGUAGUUAAUAGCUGCAUUAUUUGACGUUAGCGACAGAAGAAGCACCGGCUAACUCCGUGCCAGCAGCCGCGGUAAUACGGAGGGUGCGAGCGUUAAUCGGAAUUACUGGGCGUAAAGCGCAUGCAGGUGGUUUGUUAAGUCAGAUGUGAAAGCCCGGGGCUCAACCUCGGAAUAGCAUUUGAAACUGGCAGACUAGAGUACUGUAGAGGGGGGUAGAAUUUCAGGUGUAGCGGUGAAAUGCGUAGAGAUCUGAAGGAAUACCGGUGGCGAAGGCGGCCCCCUGGACAGAUACUGACACUCAGAUGCGAAAGCGUGGGGAGCAAACAGGAUUAGAUACCCUGGUAGUCCACGCCGUAAACGAUGUCUACUUGGAGGUUGUGGCCUUGAGCCGUGGCUUUCGGAGCUAACGCGUUAAGUAGACCGCCUGGGGAGUACGGUCGCAAGAUUAAAACUCAAAUGAAUUGACGGGGGCCCGCACAAGCGGUGGAGCAUGUGGGUUUAAUUCGAUGCAACGCGAAGAACCUUACCUACUCUUGACAUCCAGAGAACUUUCCAGAGAUGGAUUGGUGCCUUCGGGAACUCUGAGACAGGUGCUGCAUGGCUGUCGUCAGCUCGUGUGUGAAAUGUUGGGUAAGUCCCGCAACGAGC